This 900-nucleotide ribosomal RNA is filed under the name uncultured archaeon. Its description in RNAcentral is "bacterial SSU rRNA". It matches the Rfam family "Archaeal small subunit ribosomal RNA", at positions 455 to 1354 of the family's 1478-position model. The record is from RNAcentral.
GUGUCAGCCGCCGCGGUAAAACCAGCACCUCAAGUGGUCAGGAGGAUUAUUGGGCCUAAAGCAUCCGUAGCCUGUUCUAUAAGUUUCCGGUUAAAUCCAUUAGCUCAACUAAUGGGCUGCCGAAAAUACUGUAGAACUAGGGAGUGGGAGAGGUAGACGGUAUUCGGUAGGAAGGGGUAAAAUCCUUUGAUCUAUUGAGGACCACCUGUGGCGAAGGCGGUCUACCAGAACACGUUCGACGGUGAGGGAUGAAAGCUGGGGGAGCAAACCGGAUUAGAUACCCGGGUAGUCCCAGCUGUAAACGAUGCAGACUCGGUGAUGCCCUGGCUUGUGGCCAGUGCAGUGCCGCAGGGAAGCCGUUAAGUUUGCCGCCUGGGAAGUACGUACGCAAGUAUGAAACUUAAAGGAAUUGGCGGGGGAGCACCACAAGGGGUGAAGCCUGCGGUUCAAUUGGAGUCAACGCCAGAAAUCUUACCCGGAGAGACAGCAGAAUGAAGGUCAAGCUGAAGACUUUACCAGACAAGCUGAGAGGUGGUGCAUGGCCGUCGCCAGCUCGUGCCGUGAGAUGUCCUGUUAAGUCAGGUAACGAGCGAGAUCCCUGCCUCUAGUUGCCACCAUUACUCUCAGGAGUAGUGGGGCGAAUUAGCGGGACCGCCACAGUUAAUGUGGAGGAAGGAAGGGGCCACGGCAGGUCAGUAUGCCCCGAAACUCUGGGGCCACACGCGGGCUGCAAUGGUAGUGACAAUGAGUUCCGAAACCGAAAGGUGGAGGUAAUCUUCAAACGCUACCACAGUUAUGAUUGAGGGCUGCAACUCGCCCUCAUGAAUAUGGAAUCCCUAGUAACUGCGUGUCAUUAUCGCGCGGUGAAUACGUCCCUGCUCCUUGCACACACCGCCCGUC